This 465-nucleotide ribosomal RNA is filed under the name uncultured bacterium. RNAcentral's name for it is "partial 16S ribosomal RNA". It matches the Rfam family "Bacterial small subunit ribosomal RNA", at positions 28 to 507 of the family's 1533-position model. The record is from RNAcentral.
GACGAACGCUGGCGGCGUGCUUAACACAUGCCAGUCGAGCGAGGCCCCUCCUUCGGGAGGGUGUCCUAGCGGCGAACGGGUGAGUAACACGUGGGCAACCUGCCCUCAGCUCUGGGAUAACUCCGGGAAACCGGGGCUAAUACCGGAUACGACCUCCACGGGCAUCUGCGGAGGUGGAAAGUUUUUCGGCUGAGGAUGGGCCCGCGGCCUAUCAGCUAGUUGGUGGGGUAGUGGCCCACCAAGGCGACGACGGGUAGCCGGCCUGAGAGGGUGACCGGCCACACUGGGACUGAGACACGGCCCAGACUCCUACGGGAGGCAGCAGUGGGGAAUAUUGCGCAAUGGGCGAAAGCCUGACGCAGCGACGCCGCGUGAGGGACGAAGGCCUUCGGGUUGUAAACCUCUUUCAGCAGGGACGAAGCGAAAGUGACGGUACCUGCAGAAGAAGCACCGGCCAACUACGUG